GAUGAACGCUAGCGGCAGGCUUAAUACAUGCAAGUCGAGGGGCAGCAUGAAUGUAGCAAUACAUUUGAUGGCGACCGGCAAACGGGUGCGGAACACGUACACAACCUUCCUAUAAGUGGGGAAUAGCCCAGAGAAAUUUGGAUUAAUACCCCGUAACAUAUAGAGUAGGCAUCUUCUUUAUAUUAUAGCUUCGGCGCUUAUUGAUGGGUGUGCGUCUGAUUAGGUAGUUGGCGGGGUAACGGCCCACCAAGCCUACGAUCAGUAGCUGAUGUGAGAGCAUGAUCAGCCACACGGGCACUGAGGCACGGGCCCGACUCCUACGGGAGGCAGCAGUAAGGAAUAUUGGACAAUGGGCGAAAGCCUGAUCCAGCCAUGCCGCGUGAAGGAUUAAGGUCCUCUGGAUUGUAAACUUCUUUUAUUUGGGACGAAAAAAGGGAAUUCUUUCCCACUUGACGGUACCAAGUGAAUAAGCACCGGCUAACUCCGUGCCAGCCGCCGCGGUAA
This 504-nucleotide ribosomal RNA is filed under the name uncultured bacterium. RNAcentral's name for it is "partial 16S ribosomal RNA". It matches the Rfam family "Bacterial small subunit ribosomal RNA", at positions 28 to 523 of the family's 1533-position model. The record is from RNAcentral.